Small nucleolar RNA from Mastomys coucha (southern multimammate mouse), 132 nucleotides. RefSeq annotates it as small nucleolar RNA SNORA17. NCBI's taxonomy places the organism in Eukaryota, Metazoa, Chordata, Mammalia, Rodentia, Muridae. The record is from RefSeq and is a predicted model, not a curated record. The transcript has a single exon.
CCUGACCCUAAAGGUGUUGCAGGUAUGGCUGCUACAUCAUAUGUGUGUUAGUAGGUGGCAAAGAGGAGAAAGACUAAGUCUAUACUCAGUAUUCAGAACAAUGUACAUCUGAAUGAUUAAUAGUCUAACAUU